UGUUAGUAUACUUUCUUCGCUUGGGUUGUAAAUAUUUAGCUAGUGUUUGCGAAGCUAUGCAAAAUAGUGUCUACAUUUUCUACAAAGAUCGCUUUGAAAUGGCCCAAAAGUUACGCGUUCAAGUGGAGUUGUGAAAUGGUGUAGUAUUUAACUUAAUCCCGCUGUUCCUCGUUUGCGAAUUUGUAGCGAAAAUGGAAGUUGUUCUCCAUUCGGAAAUCGCUCGAGUAGUUUUGGCUUAUCUGUACGAGCAAAAACUGAACAAGGCCGCCGAAGAAUUCUGCAAUGCAAGUCUACACCUUAAGGAGGAACGAAAAGUGUUGAAAAAAGGCUAUCGACCUGUAAUGUACUCUAGCCUGAAAUUGAGAGAUUUGUUUCGAGAGUAUAGCGAAAUUCAGAUGAAAUUGAAGAACUUUAUUGAAAAGUUUAAUUUAGAUGUUCCCAUUCAGAGUGAUUGGACUCUGUUGAAAAAAGUCGACUUCCUUUUGUCCAUGGUAGCGCGAAAAUGUAUCCGAAAGUCAAAAGCUCAGGUUGUUGUUAACGGAGAGGAUGAUGAACACCGCAGAAGCUUGCCCGUGACGUGUGGUGCAAGCCGUCGAAAACGAGUCAAUUCGUCUCCUCCCAUAUCAAUGUCUAGCAGUACACCGGAAACUGGCGAACCAAAGCAGAAAAGAGUAUGUUUGAGUCAAUCUUUUAUAGUGUUAAAUGAAUCCACUACUGUAGUGGAGACGAAUGUUUCGAAUAUCUCACGUAUAUCUUCAAUAUGCGGAGAAGAUAGCAGCAGAGAUUCGGUGGAAGACGUUGCAGAGGACGCCGGUGCAAAAGCAUCUGACAAAGAAGUAGAGGAUAACGAUUUAGAGAUUAGAAAGUUUCCACCGAUAGAUUUAUUCUCACAAACACUGCUAGAAAACGAAAGCUACCCGGAGAAAAUAGCAGAUUUGAUUAACAAGGGUUUGGAAACGUCCCUGAAUCAGCAGCCGAAUUCGGAUCCGAAGGAGGGUACUUCAGCUAUCCCAAUGAAAGAAGACGAAACGGCGAAAAAACAAAAGCAAGAUAAUCAGUUAAUGAAUUUUAACUUUGAUGAACUGAUAUCCAAUAUUGUGAACAGUGCGGUAAAGGAUCCUGUUUUUGACGACAUGAUGGUUGAUAUCAGCAGCAAGGCAGGAAAGGGCGAUAACGACAAAGAAGAUGUAACGGCACAACCGCUGCCGGUAACAGAGACGCCACUUAAGGCUAGGCUGAGAAAAACUUGCAAGAAAAAUUACAACUCAUUUUCUGCUACGAAAAAAUCAGCUAAGAAAGUAAGUGUAAUUUCCAAUGUUCCUUAUUCUGGAUCUUUACCCGAAGUCGUAAGUGCGGACGCUGUCUCUGGCCCGACUGACAUUGUUCAACCGACUGUUUCCUCUACGGCGGAGGAUGAACCGAGUCCGGCAGCGCCAACCACCCAGUUCUAUGUCAUCCAGCCGGACAAUUCAACAAAACUGAUGGACAUAAAUCAACUGCCGUUUCCAAACCAUCAGCAACUUAGUGUGACUCAACCAAAUCCGCUGGUACCGGCCGCGCCGACGUUGUUACCCAUCUCCGGUAGUGGAAUUCCGGAAAAUACUUAUUUCAUAAAUAUCCCGAAUUACUAUUUCGACACCGGCUCCCAGUAUCCGAUGUUACAAAAUGCUUAUCCACCCUUGAUCGGGGAUCAGUUAAUAAGUAAUUCUACAAUUUCCGUGACAGAUUCAACACCCAGUCCGGAAAAGUUUCUCGUUUUUCCUUCCACUGCGCCGAAUAUUGUUAGCAGUAUCAGCGCGACAACAGCGACGUUCAACACAGGUACAAUAACCACGACCAACACGACAGCAGUCAUUAGCAGUGUUUGUUCCGCGUUUGUUCCGAUUCAAACCAAACAGGAAAUCAAAAGGACCCCUCCCAAUUUCAUAUCCACUAAUGCAGAAACUCGAUGCUCAUCUACGCCAAGUAGAAAAGCGUCCCACAUUCGGAUUCUGAACUUUCAGACUCCUAUCAAGAGUCACUUUCCAUCGACAAUAACUCCUGGAUCCGCUCCGGCAUCGGUUGACCAUCGAAUCGUUUAUCCUCGAAUACCAAAACUGGAAUGUAUUGAAGAAGCUUCGCAACCGCAACCGGAUUGUCCGAACACACCGUCCACUAGCCAGAUCACCCUUGCCGGUGACUGGGAUUUGGUUCACGGUAUAGGUGCCAUCACGUCCAACUCCCUACCGUCGCAUUUAAAUUCUGUCUCCAAUACACCGCGUGUCGCGAAGGAUCCUCGUAACUGCGUUCGAGUUUUGUCACGUUCUGCUAGCGAAGACGGUGACAAACCGAAAACACCGCCGAUGGUGGAAAUUCCAGUGAAAGAAAUCCGCAAGAAAUCGGUUGCCAAAACAAAAGUCUCUGCUCCGGCGGUUCCGGUUGCUCCGGUCUCAUCUCAACCGGUAAAAGAUGUUGACAUGGAAGAGUGGCGUCGAAUCCGAUCCGUUUCCAAGUUUAACUUUGAUCAACAUUUGCGACAAGUCGAGGAACAGAAGCAGAUUCAAAAUAAGGUUACCAAAAAGAAGCGCAACAAAACGCCAUCUCGGAAAGCAACGUCUAGCUUUGCGAACGCAUCUACGGAAAGUGUCGCGGAAGGGGACACCUCGCUGACGGAAACCCAUGCACAGAUGCUAGAGGAUGCACUGGCAUCGGCCAAGAAACCCGACACCGUCACUGGGAAGACCCCGGCCAAAACUCCUGCCAGUAAAGUGAAAACAUUGCCCAAGGAAAAGGAGAAUCAAGAGGAACCAAGUAAGAUCUACGUUAAGUUUACGUCCCCGAGAAAGCGGACACCGGCCAAACGACGGAUGGCCAAGGGAGGCAGCACUAGAAAAUCCGCCAGAAAACGGAAAUCGACCAGCCCAAAGACAAAGAUAACGGAAAAUAAACCCACGGAGAAAGAAUUGGAAGAAUCUCCCACCGUCGAAUCGGAGCCUUCUGUGAAACCAGAACACGAAUCUACCGAGCAGAUUUCUUCGCCGGAAACAAAAUUUACUACUUCUGAAGAACCGGAACCGGCAUUUCCUGAAUCGUCAACUACACCUUCUGAUCCACCAGCAGUAGAUCCACCAGAUCCAUCAGAAGCACCAUCGGUAGCACCUUCUGAUCCAUCGGAAGCUCCUGCGAAUUCUUCAGUGGCAGCUGCCGCCGUUCCCUCAGUGGCAUCUUCCAAUUCAACAGCAGCACCUUCCGAACCACCCAAAGCGGUGAAAGAUCAUCCCAAGGUGCUUGCGAAAAAAUCCAGUGCUGAGUAUACCCGCAAGGAACAGGAAAAGCAGCAACUGCAGCAAGACGCACCGGUAUCUAACGAUGACUCGACGACGCUGCAAGACCAUGAAAAACUAGAUCCCAGCUCGUGCCACGUCGCCACCGAUUGUACUCUUGGACCUUCUCUUUUUAUGCAAACACCGUUCAAAAGUGAACCGAAUAAUUUCCCUAUCACGCCACGAUUCCUAGUUCCGGAACAGCUGCUCGACACUCCGAUGACGAAAAUUAUGCGUGACUUGAAAGGAAUCGACGCCAGCUCGUCGAUGACGAAGUCGUGUGAAAUUCAAACACCCAGUUUUCCCAUUACCCCCGGGUUGAUCAGUACUCCAAAAUCGAUAAAUUCGGUUAGUCCUCAGAGUAACACCGGGGGAGGAUUUAGCUCUCGUAGAACCGAUUAUUCAUCUGGUAGUUCGUACUACAAACCGGACGAAUCGGAAGAUUUGGAUAAAAAUCUCGAAGCGAUGUUACAUGGAGAAAAACGAAAGCGACUGGCAGGGGAAAUCAGUUCCACAGUAGAAGAACCAAAAUGUCAACCAGUAGAAGUAGAGCUAAUAGAAAAAGAUCAGCCUAUCGUCGAACCGCCCGACCAAUCGGCACCUCUGCCGGAUUCAGUUGAACAUAAUUCGUCGAGUUCGGACUCUAGCAGUAGCUCUGAUUCAUCCUCCAAUUCUAGCAGUGCUGCCAGUACCCCGGAGAAAGAACCCUGCCACGAUAAUGCUGCUGCUGCUGCUGCUGUCGAAAGUCCUAAGCACACGGUUCCAGUGCAGCCCCUUAGUGCCACCGAAAUUCGCCGUCAGUUACAUCAGGCUGAAUUGGAAGCGAAAAAGCAACGAAUGAUUGCUUCUUUAAAAACUACUCAUAUUCCUCCGUUGAAACGGGUAGAACGAAAGUUUAUCGGUGCUCCCGGAUUUAAAUCACGAAAAGUGGUGGUUACCCGUAAAGAACAAGUACUAAAUCGUGCCUCGACAAAAACAACAACUCAACCGUCAUCCACCAAUCGACCUCCGUUCGUUCCGAAACCGCAUCAAUCUACUCCAUAUCAAACGCGAUCAACGUCGGCUUCUUCCAAACGCAAAAAUCCCACUCCUCGGAAAGUUAUCCCGCUUGACAAAUUCAUUAGUCCGGUGAAAAAAUGUUCGCCCAAGCAGAAAACGCAGAAAAGAACCACCACUCCAACGGCUCCGGAGAAGACUCAUCCCACAAAAGCAUCCGUCAAAACGGACAAUCAGCUGAUCGAAGGUACGUACGAAAAUGAAAAUCUCACUCGGUUAUGUUACACUCCCGAUCAGGAGCCAGCCUGCGGAGAUGCAACAAUGCCAGAGCCCGGUAAACAGAUCUACGCCUGUAGAAGUCCUGAUCGAGAUAAAAACGAAAAACCAAAAAGUGAGGCGACACCAGAUUCCAACAAGGAAAAUCAAUCGCUGGAAUGUACCGACGAAGGCAAAGCGAUGGUAGCAGGAGAAAUACAAUGCGAAGAAGAAGAAGAAGAAGAAGGCGAAGAUCAGGACGAUUACGAUGAUUGUACGCUUCAGUCGUAUCCGGAAGAUAAAUCAUCGGGCUACUAUUUCCGGUACGUGUUUGAUGAAACUGAUCAACCAGUCUCUACCAGUGGGUCCAUUUCCGAAAGUCGACUGAUAAAAAAAUGCAACGCCGUACUAGACGGUAGAAAAAUCUAUCUCGAAGCUCAGCCCCCAAUCAAUCUUCUAGAACACAAACCCACGGUGGUCGCAAGUCCGAAAAAGUCCGGCGGUAAAUCGUCUAAAUCUUCUAGUAAAAAAGGAUCCGGCAAAACGACAAUUCCACCAAAAGAACCGGAAGUGAGCUCGUGUCCUGAUGUGGUUCCAGCUACUCCGGUCGCGGUUAAAGCCAAGUUUAAUGUCGUACCGGCAGUGAGAAAUGUAAAACUUUCAACCUCCACCGGAGCAAUCAAUCGACAUUUGAGCUCUUCCGUCGACAAGGCCAAACUACUGCAUCAUGAUGAUGGGUUGUCUUCUACGCAUCGUCACGGUCAAGGAAAAAGCAAUCCCCCGAAGCAACGCGAGAAUGGUGAUAAAGCAAAUGCCACUGCUGCCGUCGUCUGUGCAAGCAAAAAGAAAGAACACAGCCGAUCGCCAUCCCCGAAAAUGCCACUUAAGUUGGAUAUGAAAAAGCGUCAGCAUCAGCAUUCAUUGCCAAAGACAUCCAGUUCAAGGCACACGUCGAAACCGUCAGAGAUUCCACCGGGAAAAGAAUCCAAGCAGGCCAAGGAUAUAUCAGAAUAUGACAUCGAUGAUGUGCUCACUCUGAUACACGGGUAACGAAGAGCGGUUCAAGUUCUGACCUUUGACGAAACCAUUCAUCCUUAAUGUUGCCUGUUUGGACCACACCUGACCCAUUAUUUAUUUCUGUUGUAACACGCAAGUACAGACAAUUGUGUAAUACAAGAACGCUUAUAAUUCAUCAACUGCUCAAUCUUCCGAUAGAAACGUAUCACCCUCAUGUCAUUCCCGGAACACCUUAAAUCGUACCAGGAAGUCGAUUCUUCUGAGGUCGAGCAUUUGUCGGGAUUAACUUUCAUAGCGUUCACUUUACUCCACUCAGCAAUGAUUAACAGUUUCUUUUGGAGAUGUUAUAGGAGAUCUUGACAUCAUCAGCGAAUGAUAGACGAUGUUGAAAUACAGUAAGAAUAUGAAAGGUUCGAGAUUGCUUCCCUGAUGUGGUGAUGCAAGCUUUCCUAGCAACUACAGUAUAGUCUUGGGGGUCCAGCAACUCGAGGUAUGGAUAAUUUGUAGAUCGGCUACAAAUAUUUGUACUACAAAAGACCGAAAUACAAAAAGCAGUACGUCAUAGAAAGCCGAACCUC
Molecule: RNA transcript, 6148 nt
Organism: Malaya genurostris
Lineage: Eukaryota; Metazoa; Arthropoda; Insecta; Diptera; Culicidae
Gene name: mucin-2-like
Exons: 6
Source: RefSeq, a predicted model, not a curated record